CCCUACGCCCCUACGAUCCAUAGCUGAUAGCCUGUCUUCUCCAAGACUCCAUCAGCCGUCCUCGGCAGCUCGGCUCGGCCGAAGACUCUUCUUCGGCGAAGAGUUUAAAACUUUAAAUUCUAAAUUCUUCUUCAUUCUUUUUUCCCUAAUCGGCUAAUCCCUAGUUCCUCCUUACUCUUCUUCGGUUCUUCCUGCUAAUCCCUAGUUCCUCCUUACUCUUCUUCGGUUCUUCCUUCCCUAAUAUGCUAAUUCCUAGUUCCUCCUUACUCCCUAGUUCUUCCGAGUUCCGUCCACGGUCCAUCGCCCGUUCGCCGUCCUCGGCAGUCGCUCGCC
RNAcentral lists this long non-coding RNA (333 nucleotides) under Phoenix dactylifera (date palm). RNAcentral describes it as "long non-coding RNA (PDAC_LNC021431)". The record is from RNAcentral. Lineage: Eukaryota; Viridiplantae; Streptophyta; Magnoliopsida; Arecales; Arecaceae.